RNAcentral lists this ribosomal RNA (254 nucleotides) under uncultured bacterium. RNAcentral's name for it is "partial 16S ribosomal RNA". It matches the Rfam family "Bacterial small subunit ribosomal RNA", at positions 524 to 776 of the family's 1533-position model. The record is from RNAcentral.
CACGUAGGGGGCAAGCGUUGUCCGGAAUCAUUGGGCGUAAAGAGCUCGUAGGCGGCUCAGUAAGUCGGGUGUGAAACCUCCAGGCUCAACCUGGAGACGCCACCCGAUACUGCUGUGGCUAGAGUCCAGUAGGGGAGUGUGGAAUUCCCGGUGUAGCGGUGAAAUGCGCAGAUAUCGGGAGGAACACCAGCGGCGAAGGCGGCACUCUGGGCAACAACUGACGCUGAGGAGCGAAAGCGUGGGGAGCGAACAGG